RNAcentral lists this ribosomal RNA (438 nucleotides) under uncultured bacterium. RNAcentral's name for it is "bacterial SSU rRNA". It matches the Rfam family "Bacterial small subunit ribosomal RNA", at positions 338 to 793 of the family's 1533-position model. The record is from RNAcentral.
CCUACGGGGGGCAGCAGUGGGGAAUAUUGCACAAUGGGGGAAACCCUGAUGCAGCAACGCCGCGUGAGUGAAGAAGUCAUUCGUGAUGUAAAGCUCUAUCAGCAGGGAAGAAAAUGACGGUACCUGACUAAGAAGCCCCGGCUAACUACGUGCCAGCAGCCGCGGUAAUACGUAGGGGGCAAGCGUUAUCCGGAUUUACUGGGUGUAAAGGGAGCGUAGACGGCGAGACAAGUCUGAAGUGAAAUGCCAGUGCUCAACACUGGAACUGCUUUGGAAACUGCCUGGCUGGAGUGCGGGAGAGGUAAGUGGAAUUCCUAGUGUAGCGGUGAAAUGCGUAGAUAUUAGGAGGAACACCAGUGGCGAAGGCGGCUUACUGGACCGUAACUGACGUUGAGGCUCGAAGGCGUGGGGAGCAAACAGGAUUAGAUACCCGAGUAG